Non-coding RNA from Oryza punctata, 206 nucleotides. The record is from Rfam. NCBI's taxonomy places the organism in Eukaryota, Viridiplantae, Streptophyta, Magnoliopsida, Poales, Poaceae.
UUUAAGUGCAACCAUAAGUUUCCGUGUCCAACUUUGAUCGUCCGUCUUGUUUAAAAUUUUUUUAUGAUUAGUAUUUUUGUUGUUAUUAGAUGAUAAAACAUGAAUAAUACUUUAUGCGUGACUUAUGUUUUUUAAAAUUUUUAAAUUUUUUUUCAAAUAAGAUGAACAAUUAAAGUUGGACACAGAAACUUAUGACUGCGCUUAAA